This 2053-nucleotide long non-coding RNA is filed under the name Marmota monax (woodchuck). Lineage: Eukaryota; Metazoa; Chordata; Mammalia; Rodentia; Sciuridae. The record is from RNAcentral.
UAAAAUCACACAAUUAGGACAAUCCAACACAAUCUGUCGAGCAUCAGCACGGGAGAUGGUAAAACGUUUCUGAAGUGCUCGUGCAUUAAUAUGAAACUUACUAUGAAAGUCUGCAGCUUGAUCUAAGGAGGAAAUAGGGAACACCCAAGAAGGAUGAGUAGCAAGAUCUGCCUGGGCAUUGCCCGCAGAAAGAGCACCCGGUAAACCUGUGUGGGCUCGAAUAUGCAAGGGGUAAAAACAGGCGGAACGAUUCCAAAUCAAUGUUUGAAGAUGGAGAAAAAGGGAAGACAUUACUCCUGAUGUGUGUAUGGGACCCACUGCUUCCAACACCUUUAAAGCUUGAAUUACAUAGACAGAAUCUGAGAUUAAAUUAAAAGGAAAUGGACAUUGUUCAAAAACUUUUACGACAAUUUGUAGCUCCACCCAUUGUGGAUUACCAGGAGCAAACUGAUGUUGGAUAGGAGGUUGAUCAUUUAUCAUAUAAGCUCCAAUACCAGUCUUAGAUCCAUCUGUAAAGAUAUUUGCAGCUCCUGGAAUAGGCGUGGAAGAAGUGAUUUUAGGGAAAAUGACAGGAUGUUCCUUAACAAAUGUAAUAAGGAUGUGAUGGAUAGUGAUUAUCUAUCUCUCCUGGAAAAGAGCAUCGUAAUAUAGCCCAAUUAUCCAAGUUAGCACAUAAGACCAAAAUUUGUUGACAUGUAUAAGGAACAAUCACAGACGUUGGAGAGAAACCAAAAAAUUGUACAUUUUGUUGUAUCCCUAACAUAGCUAAGGAAGCAACUGCAUCAGGAUAAUACUCAAGGGAUUUUCCAGGGGACAUACGUGGAUGUAUCCACAGUAAAGGACCAUCUUGCCAUAAAACUCCAGUAGGUUGUCGCGCAGUGGCGAGCACACAUAGUUGGAGAGGUUUAUCCUCUUGAAACCUACAAAGGCUAGCAUGUUGUAUAGCCUCCUCCACUUUCAGCAGCGCUGACUUUGCUUCCUCAGUAAGAUGCCGAGGGGAAGAAAGGUCUGAAUCACCUUUAAGAAUUUCACACAAGGGUUUUAAUUCAGCAUUGGGAAUAUGUAAAUAACCCCUAAUCCAAUUUAUGUCACCUAAUAAUUUUUGGAAAUCAUUUAAGGUACGUAAAUUAUCGGUCCUGAGAGUUACCUUUUGGGGUGUAAUGAUUUUACAAGAGAUAGUAGCACCAAGAUAAUCAAUAGAAUCUCCUGUUUGUACUUUAUCAGAUGAAAUAAGCAAGCCCUUUGAUUGUAAUAAAUGUACCAAAUCAGUGUAAACUGCUUCCAACAUAUAUUUGGUUUUGGCUGCCAGCAAUAUAUCAUCCAUAUAAUGUAUACACUUCAACAAUGGAUACUUUUGUCUGAGUGGGACAAUGGCCGCUCCUACAAACAUUUGACACAUUGUAGGGCUAUUGGCCAUGCCUUGAGGCAAAACCACCCAUUCAAACCUUUGAUCAGGUUCCUCAUGAUUACAUGAAGGCAGAGUAAAAGCAAAACGUUCGGAGUCCUGAGGAUGCAAUGGAAUGGAAAAGAAACAAUCUUUAAUGUCUGUACAUAUCAUUGGCCAAUUUUUUGGAAUUGUUGAAAGCAAAGGCAAACAUCUCUGAAUGGGUCUCAUGAGCUGCAUUUGAGCAUUAAUGACCCGUAGAUCGUGUAACAACCGCCAUUUUCCAGACUUCUUUUUAAUAAUAAAUAUGGGUGUAUUCCAUGGAGAAGUGGAGGGCUUUAUAUGUUCCAACUUUAAUUGUUCUUGUACUAAAGCAUAAGCUGCAGUCAAUUUUUCAGAGGGGAGCGGCCACUGAGGAACCCAUAUUGGCUCCCCUGUUUUCCAGGUAAUGGGCACCUGAUCCUCAGCGGCCACUAGGAAAAACCCAGUCCAUGUCUAUUAAGUUUUUGCUGAGGUUCUAAAGGAUGUCUACGUCCUUGCAAAUUUUUUCCUAAUCCAAGACCUGGUCUAUAUCUUAUGCCCUGCAUUAUCUUUUGGGCAACUGUUGAAUAUUCAUUACUAAGUUGAAACCCCAUGUCCUUCAUAAGAUCACGUCCCCAUAGAGAGAUA